RNAcentral lists this ribosomal RNA (682 nucleotides) under Salmonella enterica. RNAcentral describes it as "bacterial LSU rRNA". It matches the Rfam family "Bacterial large subunit ribosomal RNA", at positions 2261 to 2925 of the family's 2925-position model. The record is from RNAcentral. RNAcentral also lists the same sequence under 1 other name. Lineage: Bacteria; Pseudomonadati; Pseudomonadota; Gammaproteobacteria; Enterobacterales; Enterobacteriaceae.
GUGGGUAGUUUGACUGGGGCGGUCUCCUCCUAAAGAGUAACGGAGGAGCACGAAGGUUGGCUAAUCCUGGUCGGACAUCAGGAGGUUAGUGCAAUGGCAUAAGCCAGCUUGACUGCGAGCGUGACGGCGCGAGCAGGUGCGAAAGCAGGUCAUAGUGAUCCGGUGGUUCUGAAUGGAAGGGCCAUCGCUCAACGGAUAAAAGGUACUCCGGGGAUAACAGGCUGAUACCGCCCAAGAGUUCAUAUCGACGGCGGUGUUUGGCACCUCGAUGUCGGCUCAUCACAUCCUGGGGCUGAAGUAGGUCCCAAGGGUAUGGCUGUUCGCCAUUUAAAGUGGUACGCGAGCUGGGUUUAGAACGUCGUGAGACAGUUCGGUCCCUAUCUGCCGUGGGCGCUGGAGAACUGAGGGGGGCUGCUCCUAGUACGAGAGGACCGGAGUGGACGCAUCACUGGUGUUCGGGUUGUCAUGCCAAUGGCACUGCCCGGUAGCUAAAUGCGGAAGAGAUAAGUGCUGAAAGCAUCUAAGCACGAAACUUGCCCCGAGAUGAGUUCUCCCUGAGACUUAAAGUCUCCUGAAGGAACGUUGAAGACGACGACGUUGAUAGGCCGGGUGUGUAAGCGCAGCGAUGCGUUGAGCUAACCGGUACUAAUGAACCGUGAGGCUUAACCCUACAACGCCGAAG